UACGGAAGGCAGCAGUGGGGAAUAUUGCACAAUGGGCGAAAGCCUGAUGCAGCUAUGCCGCGUGUAUGAAGAAGGCCUUAGGGUUGUAAAGUACUUUUCAUCGGGGAGGAAAAAACAAAACUAAUAAUUUUAUUUCUUGACGUUACCCGAAAAAGAAGCACCGGCUAACUCCGUGCCAGCAGCCGCGGUAAUACGGAGGGUGCUAGCGUUAAUCAGAAUUACUGGGCGUAAAGAGCACGUAGGUGGUUUUUUUAAGUCAGAUGUGAAAUCCCUGGGCUUAACCUAGGAACUGCAUUUUGAAACUGAAAUACUAGAGUAUCGUAGAGGGAGGUAGAAUUCUAGGUGUAGCGGUGAAAUGCGUAGAUAUCUGGAGGAAUACCUGUGGCGAAAGCGGCCUCCUAAACGAAUACUGACACUGAGGUGCGAAAGCUGGGGAGCAAACAGGGAUUAGAUACC
Molecule: ribosomal RNA, 456 nt
Filed under: uncultured bacterium
Lineage: Bacteria
Description: bacterial SSU rRNA
Rfam family: Bacterial small subunit ribosomal RNA
Source: RNAcentral